This 161-nucleotide unclassified non-coding RNA is filed under the name soil metagenome. Its description in RNAcentral is "partial internal transcribed spacer 1". The record is from RNAcentral.
GUGAAUAUAGCGCAUCUCUUCGAAGAGCGUGACCUCCACUUUCAACUCUGUGCAUUUUUUGGCGAGGGAACGAGACGAAGCGACGCAAGUUGCAGACUCUCGCCUCUUGCGGCUCAUUUUAAACACUAGUUAAAGUAUGUAACGAAAUAUCGAAACAAAAA